UUAAUAAAUAUAAAAUGAUUAUAAAAGAGUAAACUUUUUCAAUUUUUAAAAAAUAUCCCUGAUUCAAAUUACCACCACUAUCUUCAAUUGGGUUGAGAUGAGAGAAAAAAAAUGGUGGAGUGAUGACAGAGAAAAUGUUUGAGAUGAGAGAGAAAAUAUCUUUGAUGACAAAAGUUUUUUUUUUUUUGAAUUGGGGCAACAGUUGAGAUGACAGAGAAAAUGUUGGAGGGAGAGAGAUGAAAGAGAAAGGGUUGAGAGGAAUGAGGGAGGUGAGUAAGGGUUUGGGGGUUCUUUUUUUUAGUUUUGAGAAUGAAAAUUAUUUAAAUAUCCUUGACCUUAAAACUUAGAAUCCAUAAUAAAUGAGGGUAUUUUUGUCUACUAUAAUCCGUUAUACAUUGGUAAAACGUAACAACUGAAAAACAGGC
RNAcentral lists this long non-coding RNA (425 nucleotides) under Vigna radiata. RNAcentral describes it as "long non-coding RNA (VRAD_LNC007052)". Lineage: Eukaryota; Viridiplantae; Streptophyta; Magnoliopsida; Fabales; Fabaceae. The record is from RNAcentral.